RNAcentral lists this ribosomal RNA (502 nucleotides) under uncultured bacterium. RNAcentral describes it as "bacterial SSU rRNA". It matches the Rfam family "Bacterial small subunit ribosomal RNA", at positions 8 to 526 of the family's 1533-position model. The record is from RNAcentral.
AGAGUUUGAUCAUGGCUCAGGAUCAACGCUGGCGGCGUGCAUGAGACAUGCAAGUCAUACGGACGAUCAAAGCUUGCUUUGUUCGUUAGUGGCGGACGGCUGAGUAACGCGUGGGUGACCUGCCCCGAAGUGGGGAAUAACUGCCCGAAAGGGUGGCUAAUACCGCAUGUGGUGGUGUAUUCGAUUACACCAGUAAAGCCGCAAGGCGCUUCGGGAGGGGCCUGCGUACGAUUAGCUCGUUGGCGAGGUAACGGCUCACCAAGGCGACGAUCAUUAGCUGGUCUGAGAGGAUGGUCAGCCACACUGGGACUGAGACACUGCCCAGACUCCUACGGGAGGCUGCAGUCGAGAAUCUUGGACAAUGUACGAAAGUAUGAUCCAGCGACGCCGCGUGGAGGAUGAAGGAGCUAUGCUUCGUAAAUUCCUUUUAUGGGGGAAGAAGAUCUGACGGUACCCCAUGAAUAAGCCACGGCUAACUACGUGCCAGCCGCCGCGGUAAUUC